This 497-nucleotide ribosomal RNA is filed under the name uncultured bacterium. RNAcentral describes it as "partial 16S ribosomal RNA". It matches the Rfam family "Bacterial small subunit ribosomal RNA", at positions 28 to 507 of the family's 1533-position model. The record is from RNAcentral.
GAUGAACGCUGGCGGCGUGCCUAAUACAUGCAAGUCGAGCGAACGGACGAGAAGCUUGCUUCUCUGAUGUUAGCGGCGGACGGGUGAGUAACACGUGGUUAACCUACCUAUAAGACUGGGAUAAUUUCGGGAAACCGUAGCUAAUACCGGAUAAUAUUUUGAACCGCAUGGUUCAAAAGUGAAAGACGGUCUUGCUGUCACUUAUAGAUGGAUCCGCGCUGCAUUAGCUAGUUGGUAAGGUAACGGCUUACCAAGGCAACGAUGCAUAGACGACCUGAGAGGGGGAUCGGCCACACUGGAACUGAGACACGGUCCAGACUCCUACGGGAGGCAGCAGUAGGGAAUCUUCCGCAAUGGGCGAAAGCCUGACGGAGCAACGCCGCGUGAGUGAUGAAGGUCUUCGGAUCGUAAAACUCUGUUAUUAGGGAAGAACAUAUGUGUAAGUAACUGUGCACAUCUUGACGGUACCUAAUCAGAAAGCCACGGCUAACUACGUG